RNAcentral lists this ribosomal RNA (254 nucleotides) under uncultured bacterium. Its description in RNAcentral is "partial 16S ribosomal RNA". It matches the Rfam family "Bacterial small subunit ribosomal RNA", at positions 524 to 776 of the family's 1533-position model. The record is from RNAcentral.
UACGUAGGGCGCAAGCGUUAUCCGGAAUUAUUGGGCGUAAAGAGCUCGUAGGCGGUUCGGUAAGUCAGGUGUGAAACCUCCAGGCUCAACCUGGAGACGCCACUUGAUACUGCUGUGACUGGAGUCCGGUAGGGGAGCGUGGAAUUCCUGGUGUAGCGGUGAAAUGCGCAGAUAUCAGGAGGAACACCGGUGGCGAAGGCGGGUCUCUGGGCCGUAACUGACGCUGAGGAGCGAAAGCGUGGGGAGCGAACAGG